Molecule: ribosomal RNA, 305 nt
Filed under: uncultured bacterium
Lineage: Bacteria
Description: bacterial SSU rRNA
Rfam family: Bacterial small subunit ribosomal RNA
Source: RNAcentral
AGCCUACGGGGGGCAGCAGUGAGGAAUAUUGGUCAAUGGGCGGGAGCCUGAACCAGCCAAGUCGCGUGAGGGAAGACGGUCCUAUGGAUUGUAAACCUCUUUAGGCGGGGAGCAAUGCCGGGCACGUGUGCCCAGGCGGAGAGUACCCGGAGAAAAAGCAUCGGCUAACUCCGUGCCAGCAGCCGCGGUAAUACGGAGGAUGCGAGCGUUAUCCGGAUUUAUUGGGUUUAAAGGGUGCGCAGGCGGGCUGUUAAGCCGGCGGUAAAAAUUCAGGGCUCAACCCUGUCGAGCCGUCGGAACUGGCG